UACGCUGGCUGCUACCUCCCUCACUCUUGUCAGAGUCGGAGCUACAGGCAGUGCCUUCAGCUCUGAGCUCAGGCAUCCCGGUCCCUGUUUUUGCGGUUAAGGACUCUAAAGUGUUGUGUCGUGUUCAUCAACUUUUUCUCAACCUCCCUGGCUCUACCUCUUCUGCCACAAACGUCAGCAUGGUGGUAUCUGCCGACCCUUUGUCCAGCGAGAGGGCAGAGAUGAACAUCCUAGAAAUCAACCAGGAAUUGCGCUCGCAGCUGGCAGAGAGCAAUCAGCAGUUCCGAGACCUCAAAGAGAAGUUCCUUAUAACUCAAGCUACUGCCUACUCCCUGGCCAACCAGCUGAAGAAAUACAGUUGUUUAAAGUACAGGAAUCACCUGCCCCCAGAGAGGUGCAGAAGACUGAAGAAAAGGAAGUCCCUCAGGACUCACUGGAGGAAUGUGCUGUCACUUGUUCAAAUAGUCACAACCCUUCUAACUCCAACCAGCCUCACAGGAGCACCAAAAUCACAUUUAAGGAACACGAAGUCGACUCUGCUCUGGUUGUAGAGAGUGAACACCCUCAUGAUGAAGAGGAGGAAGCUCUAAACAUUCCCCCAGAAAAUCAAAAUGACCAUGAGGAGGAGGAGGGGAAAGCGCCAGUGCCCCCCAGACACCAUGACAAGUCCAACUCUUACCGGCAUCGUGAAGUCUCUUUCUUGGCAUUGGAUGAACAGAAAGUUUGCUCCGCUCAGGAUGUUGCCAGGGAUUACUCCAAUCCCAAAUGGGAUGAAACCUCACUUGGCUUCCUCGACACACCCUUGGCCAGAAGAGAAUCUGUUGCCUUGAAGGGUAGGACUCGGUCCUGGCAGCAUUCAUCACAUGCUAACUGAAGAACCCCUAGGCCCUGAAUAACCAGUAGUGAUACCCAAGAACUAUGUCAAGAGCCUUAGGAUCCCAGCUGAAAUGGCACAUUCUAUUUGUCAUCACAUCUCCUUAGGCUCCUCUUGGCUAUGAUAGUUUCUCUUUCCCUGUUUUUGAUAACCUUGAUAGCUUCAAGGAGUGCUGAUCAGGUAAUUGGCAGAAUGCCCCUCUAGUGGAAUUUAUUCCAUAUUGCUUUUUAAUUAUUUACUUGUAUGUAUUUCUCCCAUAUUUUCCUAUGAUGUUUUGAAGGGAAAGACCAAGUCAUCUGUGUAUCUCCAACACUUAGCAUUCAAUAAAUAUCUGUUGAGUGAAUAAAUAAAUGGGUGAAAAGUG
RNAcentral lists this long non-coding RNA (1238 nucleotides) under Homo sapiens (human). RNAcentral describes it as "non-protein coding lnc-NBPF6-8:5". Lineage: Eukaryota; Metazoa; Chordata; Mammalia; Primates; Hominidae. The record is from RNAcentral.